CACAAAGGCCUGCUUCAGAACUCGGUCUCCACUGCACUGCUGGCCAGACGAGGGAUGUUAUUUUGGGCAGUGCAUCUGGACUUGGUUCAAGUGGCACCAGCCAAAUCCCUGCCUUACUGACCUCUCCCCUGGAGGAGCAGGAGCAGUGCUCAAGGCCGCCCUGGGAGGGCUGAGAGGCAGGCUCUGGACUGGGGACACAGGGAUAGCUGAGCCCCAGCUGGGGGUGGAAGCUGAGCCAGGGACAGUCACAGAGGAACAAGAUCAAGAUGCGCUUUAACUGAGAAGCCCCCAAGGCAGAGGCUGAGAAUCAGAAGACAUUUCAGCAGAGCAUGUGCAGAGAUGAACUCACUAAUUGUUCAAAAUAAACAAUUUGAAUUCAAAGCAAAGUAUAUUUUUGGAAUAUCAAUUAUCACUUAUUGCAGAUAAAUGAUAAUAUAAAACACCAACUUUGGAAUUUAUUUGUUUUACUUCUGUGACUCUCAGCCUACUUUUUAAAAUAUAGUGUAUGUUUUAGAACAUACAUAUGAUAGUUGAGAAAGACACAUAUUCUGAUCAUGAAGAAAUAAACACAAGUUAAAUAUGACUAAGCAGAAAGAUGGAAGGACCAGGAAUGGUGAUGCUAACUUGGAACCACGAUGCAGGCUCUAAACUCCUCUACAAUCAUCCUCCCUUGUGAGAAAAAUACUUGAUCUGAAGGUCCCAGCAAGGAGCCGACUCACAGAAGAAUGCAGUUUUCACAUCAUGAUGAUUUAAUCUUCCUUGACCUGAGCAAUUGACAACCCCAAUUCUCCAGAACCUCACCCGCCACAAUCCCCUUAAAAACCCUGGCCCAGAACCCCUCAAGCAGACAGAUGUGAAGCUUGAGGAUUCCUUCAUCUCUUUGCCCAAUGGCAUUGUGAUUAUUAAACUCUUUUUCUGCUGCAAAUUAUGAUGUCUCAGUGUAUUGGUCUAUUGCUGCUCAGUGGGCAUAUG
This 972-nucleotide long non-coding RNA is filed under the name Homo sapiens (human). RNAcentral describes it as "HSALNT0352383". The record is from RNAcentral. Lineage: Eukaryota; Metazoa; Chordata; Mammalia; Primates; Hominidae.